Molecule: long non-coding RNA, 420 nt
Organism: Lactuca sativa (garden lettuce)
Lineage: Eukaryota; Viridiplantae; Streptophyta; Magnoliopsida; Asterales; Asteraceae
Source: RefSeq, a predicted model, not a curated record
AAAAAAACUCCAAUUUUCCGUCUAUAUUUCGGUGGCAAAGACGCGACUCUCUCUCGCUAGAUUUGUUGGAUCUCUUCCUACUCUUUAGUUUACAAACUCAGUGCGUUGUUUGAUAGAGACAUGGAUAGUAAGGAGCAAAGCGAGAGAUUGGCGAACAUUCAAGCUGAAUACGCCAAUUACUUGAUAGCAAAGUACUUCUCGGAUAAAGAUAUCUAUGGAGACUGGAUUAUAGAUUUCUUCAUCUGCAUGAAUAGAAAGUGAAUUGGAUAUGGAAUAAAAUGGAGCUUCAUUAUCUCCAAUGUUUGUUUUGUCAAAGUGAAAAUAGUAAACAGACUUUGCUUUUGAUGGAUGUUUGCUAAAUUUUGUUGGCAAAUUGAGAAAUAUGAUGUUUAUUGUAAUAAUCUGAUUAUAUUGUGGUUC